Long non-coding RNA from Cyprinus carpio carpio, 508 nucleotides. Lineage: Eukaryota; Metazoa; Chordata; Actinopteri; Cypriniformes; Cyprinidae. The record is from Ensembl.
GAAUCAGUAGAAAUUUCGCGCUCAACACCGUUUAAAUCGCUUUCAGUGAUACGCUUCAUUUACAUAAACACAGGCGCUUUUGUUCAGAAACGAUUUAUAAUAAGUUAAUUUAGAAAAAGAAUAAGGUGUACUGCCAGUGAUGUACGUGGUUUCGCUUAAAAAUGCGUUGUUUUAUGAAUCUGGCCUUGUAUCAGUCGCGGCGCUAACGUCCUCCGGCGUUUCAUUUCACCUGACAGACUGCAGGAGGCCCUAACUGGAUUAUCACACAGCAAAACCCGCAUAUUCACAGGGGAUCUCUGAGUCUCGACCCCUUUCAACAUCCCUGUGCACAUGUGAGCUUUAAAACCACAGAAUACAGUAUGUGUGCUCAGAAAAAAAAUGAGCGUAAAGGAGGGUGGCACAGUGUACUACAAGCUGGGUGGAAGAAAGAGGGAUGAAUUUUUCAUGAGGAUGGAGAGCCAGGAGAAGCAGCCGAUGGAGGCGUGUGAAAAUACACAGUGCGGUUUGG